AAGUAUGGACAAUUUUUGGGGAGCUUCAAGAGGGGAUUUUCAUCAUCAAUGUGAAGGUAAGUUAUCCCCACCUAUUUUGAGUUAAGUACAUCAAUUAUGUAUGGAUUUGAGCAUGAAAAUUGUAGAAAAAAUUGAGAAUUUAGGCCUCGGGAUUUGAAAAUAAGAUUUGGUGAUUUGAGGGGUCAAAUGAACUCCGAUUUUGGUAAAUUUUAUAUGUACGGACUCGUGGCAAGAUGAGGAAUCCGGUGAUGUGACUUUCGUAAUUUUUCGAGAAGUGGGACCGGGGCUCGGGUUUUGCAAAUUUUGUGAUUUUCGAUAUUUUUCGAGUCUUUUCGAUUGGGUUAUAUUCCCUUAGCCUAUUGUAAUAUAUUCCUUGUGGUUUUGGCAAGAUUCGACGCACGAGGAGGUCGAUUCGAAAGGAAAGGGCAUCGCGGAGUAGACUAUUGGCCAUCUUGAGGUGAGUAAUAGAUGUAAAUGCUGUUCUGAGGGUUUGAAACCCCGGACUUUCACAUCGUAACACUAUAUUGAGGUGUGACACGCAAUCCAUGGCGAGUGCGGGG
Molecule: long non-coding RNA, 560 nt
Filed under: Nicotiana tabacum (common tobacco)
Lineage: Eukaryota; Viridiplantae; Streptophyta; Magnoliopsida; Solanales; Solanaceae
Description: long non-coding RNA (NTAB_LNC016083)
Source: RNAcentral